CACCAGACACAUAUUUGAAUCGUUUUCGUACGACUAAUUUGAUUUUCAGAGCUUCCUGUCUUGUUUGAUUUUCAGAGCCAGUGAGAGAGACAACAAAAUGUAUCCAGUAAAUAGAGUUUUGUCAAUGAAAUCUACUAUAAAUAUUGAAACCCACCCUUUGUUUCCUAAAACGUUGGAAUCAGUCAACUCUGAAAUAACUGUGUGAAUCUCGAUACUAUUCGAAUAGAAAUGGCAAAGAUUGUUUGGUUAUUGUUUGCACUGAUGAUUUUAUCAUAUCAUACAAGUGACGGGUUUUUUAUUGAGGCUCUUCAUGAAAUGAAUUGCAGUUUUCUGCGCAACGUUCUUGGAUUGAAUCCAACCUAUUGUCUAAAAGGAAACACUACUACUACUGUAAUUUUCAUGAGGGAUAACGAUACGAUCUCAAGGACGUAUCAAGAAUCUGAGUGAUUGCAUAUCGAAUGCUGCCGAUAUCAUUCAUGGUCUCCAUUUGCGAUUUUCAAGUUUUACUUUUUAAGUGGAUUUUUUCGUACAAAGGCAUCAUUCUAAAUAGGAAAGAAGAAUUAAAAUAAUAGAU
Molecule: long non-coding RNA, 574 nt
Organism: Sitodiplosis mosellana (orange wheat blossom midge)
Lineage: Eukaryota; Metazoa; Arthropoda; Insecta; Diptera; Cecidomyiidae
Exons: 3
Source: RefSeq, a predicted model, not a curated record